This 637-nucleotide ribosomal RNA is filed under the name uncultured bacterium. Its description in RNAcentral is "bacterial SSU rRNA". It matches the Rfam family "Bacterial small subunit ribosomal RNA", at positions 607 to 1244 of the family's 1533-position model. The record is from RNAcentral.
GCUUAACCGGAGAAGUGCAUCGGAAACUGGAUAACUUGAGUGCAGAAGAGGGUAGUGGAACUCCAUGUGUAGCGGUGGAAUGCGUAGAUAUAUGGAAGAACACCAGUGGCGAAGGCGGCUACCUGGUCUGCAACUGACGCUGAGACUCGAAAGCAUGGGUAGCGAACAGGAUUAGAUACCCUGGUAGUCCAUGCCGUAAACGAUGAGUGCUAGGUGUUGGAGGGUUUCCGCCCUUCAGUGCCGGAGCUAACGCAUUAAGCACUCCGCCUGGGGAGUACGACCGCAAGGUUGAAACUCAAAGGAAUUGACGGGGGCCCGCACAAGCGGUGGAGCAUGUGGUUUAAUUCGAAGCUACGCGAAGAACCUUACCAGGUCUUGACAUCUUGCGCCAACCCUAGAGAUAGGGCGUUUCCUUCGGGAACGCAAUGACAGGUGGUGCAUGGUCGUCGUCAGCUCGUGUCGUGAGAUGUUGGGUUAAGUCCCGCAACGAGCGCAACCCUUGUUACUAGUUGCCAGCAUUAAGUUGGGCACUCUAGUGAGACUGCCGGUGACAAACCGGAGGAAGGUGGGGACGACGUCAGAUCAUCAUGCCCCUUAUGACCUGCGCUACACACGUGCUACAAUGGACGGUACAACG